UACAGAGGUCUCAAGCGUUGUUCGGAUUCAUUGGGCGUAAAGGGCGCGCAGGCGGUCCUGUUUGUCGAGUGUGAAAGCCCCCGGCUCAACUGGGGAGGGUCACGCGAUACUGGUCGACUCGAAGGCAGGAGAGGGUAGUGGAAUUCCCGGUGUAGUGGUGAAAUGCGUAGAUAUCGGGAGGAACACCAGUGGCGAAGGCGACUACCUGGCCUGUUCUUGACGCUGAGGCGCGAAAGCUAGGGGAGCAAACGGG
This 253-nucleotide ribosomal RNA is filed under the name uncultured bacterium. RNAcentral's name for it is "partial 16S ribosomal RNA". It matches the Rfam family "Bacterial small subunit ribosomal RNA", at positions 524 to 776 of the family's 1533-position model. The record is from RNAcentral.